CCUACGGGAGGCAGCAGUGAGGAAUAUUGGUCAAUGGACGAGAGUCUGAACCAGCCAAGUAGCGUGAAGGAUGACUGCUCUCUGGGUUGUAAACUUCUUUUAUAUGGGAAUAAAAUGUUCCACGUGUGGGAUUUUGUAUGUAUCACAUCAUUCCGGCUCGGCUAACGCCGCGCCAGCAGCCGCGGUAAUACGGAGGGUCUGAGCGUUAUCCGGAUUUAGUGGGUGUAAAGGGAGCGUAGGUGGAUUGUUAAGUCAGUUGUGAAAGUUGGCGUCUCAACCGUAAAACUGCAGUUGAAACUGGCAGUCUUGAGUACAGGAGAGGUAGGCGGAAUUCGUGGUGUAGCGGUGAAAUGCGUAGAUAUCACGAAGAACUCCGAUGGCGAAGGCAGUUCACUGGACUGUAACGGACGCUGAGGCUCGAAAGUGUGGGUAUCAAACAGGAUUAGAUACCCCAGUAGUC
Molecule: ribosomal RNA, 460 nt
Filed under: uncultured bacterium
Lineage: Bacteria
Description: partial 16S ribosomal RNA
Rfam family: Bacterial small subunit ribosomal RNA
Source: RNAcentral